UUCUCGAAUUUAAAAGAGUUAAUUAAUUAAAAAAUUUAUUGUAGCAAAAAUAUUUUUCAUAAUUAAUUAGAAAUGAAAUGUUAAUCGUUUUUAAAUAUAUCUAGUUUUUUUAGAAAAAAAUUUAAUUUUAAAUUAAAUUAAUUAAAAAAUUAAUUAAAAAAUUUUUUAAAAUUUAAAUUUAAUAUUUUAAGGGAUAAGCUUUAAUUUAAAAUAUUUAUAAUUAAAUAUUAAAUUUUUUGAAAAUUUUAAAAUUUAUAUUGUUUAAAAAUUAUAAUUUUUUAUAAAUAAUUUCAUAAAAAAUAAAAUUUAAUUUUAAUUUAAUUUUUUAUAAAAAAAUAAAAUUUAAAAAAAUAAUUUUAGUUAUAAUGAUAAAAUUAGUAUAUAAAUUUUAUUUAAUUAAUAUUAUAAAAUAUUUUUAAAUGAAAAAUUAAUUAUAAGGAAUUCGGCAAAAAUUUAUAUUCACUUGUUUAUCAAAAACAUGUCUUUUUGAGAUAAUUUAAAGUCUAAUCUGCCCACUGAUGAAAAUUGAAGGGCUGCAGUAUUUUGACUGUACAAAGGUAGCAUAAUCAUUAGUCUCUUAAUUGGUGACUUGUAUGAAAGAUUGGAUGAGAUAUAAGCUGUCUUAUUUUUAUUUAUAGAAUUUAAUUUUUU
Molecule: ribosomal RNA, 651 nt
Filed under: Grapholita molesta (oriental fruit moth)
Lineage: Eukaryota; Metazoa; Arthropoda; Insecta; Lepidoptera; Tortricidae
Description: partial 16S ribosomal RNA
Source: RNAcentral